AACUAUUUAAACUCGCGUGUUUUUUUUUAACCUCCUCUCUUCUCGCUCGCGGCACAUUUCCUCCAGAAAAACAAUUGAACGAAUGGAGCUCUAAAAAGAAACCAGCCAAAUCGAUUCUUCUCAAUUUCUUGAACAAGGGAGCAGAAGCCUUGUGAAAAACAAUUGAACAAAGGAGCAAAAAUCUUCUCAAUUUAACGAAGGAAGCACGAAGCCCUAGAAAGAAACCAGUCCCAAAUCGAUUCUUCUCAAUUUCUUCUCCAAAUCGGGAUCGAACGAAGAAAUUGAGCCCUACAGUCGGAACCCAACCUACUUCGAAUCGGUAAACCCUUUCUUUAUUUGUCUAAUUUCGUUUUAUGUUAGGUUUUUUUAUUCUUUCUGUGUAUCAUUUUGGGUGUGAACUGGCCAUUGGGUUUGGUGUUCAAAGACUCCUAACUCUGUUUCUAUGGAUUCAGUUUGCCAAAAUCCUAACUUGAGGUUUAAUUACAUCUUUUCUUCGGAUUUUUUUGUCUAUACAAAUAAUAAUGAUGUUAUUAAAGUUCUUAUCUUUUUUUCACUGUUUGACUUCCCCAUUAUCCCAUAAUGUGCAUAUGGAAAGUGAGCAGGGUCCAUAAGAUUUUCAAUCAGAACCUCGUACCUGAAAAAAAUCACUUCAUCUUACCUAGAAGAACCCAUAGUAUUUUUAUCACAAAAUUACACAAAGAAUAUGUACAUACAUUUGCAAGAUUUUCCCCACUGAAAGGAACUUCUAAAAUAUUCCACUUGGAAACUUGGAUUACAGUACUCUUUAAUUGUUUACCGGGAAACUUGGAUAGUUUGGGUUAUAGUAGUAAUUAAUGUUAACAUGGAUAGUUUGGGUUAUAUUAGUCUAGUAACAUGUUGGUGUGAAAAUGUCUUGUAAUGCUAUAUUGAAUAUUUAAAGUACUCAUUCCAACCUAGCGUCAAGUUAUCAUUUAUAAAUUAUCUUGAUUGCGUCAGUUUUAUGUUUGUCCAGGUGUAAAUAUAAUGGAUGACAUGGAGCAUGAAAUAAGGAGUUACGGAAUAAUGUAGAAAUGGGUUUGGAAAUAGAAAUGGAUGGAGAUGAAUUGACUGCAGAA
RNAcentral lists this long non-coding RNA (1094 nucleotides) under Panax ginseng (ginseng). RNAcentral describes it as "long non-coding RNA (PGIN_LNC007024)". Lineage: Eukaryota; Viridiplantae; Streptophyta; Magnoliopsida; Apiales; Araliaceae. The record is from RNAcentral.